CGUGUAGGCGGGAAAGAAAGUCAGAAGUGAAAUCCCACGGCUUAACUGUGGAGCUGCUUCUGAAACUUCUUUUCUUGAGUGUCGGAGAGGAAAGUGGAAUUCCAAGUGUAGCGGUGAAAUGCGUAGAGAUUUGGAGGAACACCAGUGGCGAAGGCGGCUUUCUGGACGAUAACUGACGCUGAGGCGCGAAAGCGUGGGGAGCAAACAGGAUUAGAUACCCUGGUAGUCCACGCUGUAAACGAUGGAUACUAGGUGUAGGAGGUAUCGACCCCUUCUGUGCCGCAGUUAACACAAUAAGUAUCCCACCUGGGGAUACGGCCGCAAGGUUGAA
This 331-nucleotide ribosomal RNA is filed under the name uncultured bacterium. RNAcentral's name for it is "bacterial SSU rRNA". It matches the Rfam family "Bacterial small subunit ribosomal RNA", at positions 568 to 898 of the family's 1533-position model. The record is from RNAcentral.